This 253-nucleotide ribosomal RNA is filed under the name uncultured bacterium. Its description in RNAcentral is "partial 16S ribosomal RNA". It matches the Rfam family "Bacterial small subunit ribosomal RNA", at positions 524 to 776 of the family's 1533-position model. The record is from RNAcentral.
UACAGAGGGGGCAAGCGUUGUUCGGAAUUACUGGGCGUAAAGGGCGCGUAGGCGGCCUUCUAAGUCGAACGUGAAAUCCCCGGGCUCAACCCGGGAACUGCGUCCGAUACUGGAAGGCUUGAAUCCGGGAGAGGGAUGUGGAAUUCCGGGUGUAGCGGUGAAAUGCGUAGAUAUCCGGAGGAACACCGGUGGCGAAGGCGGCUUCCUGGACCGACACUGACGCUGAGGCGCGAAAGCUAGGGGAGCAAACGGG